UACGAAGGGAACUAGCGUUGUUCGGAAUCACUGGGCGUAAAGCGCGCGUAGGCGGUCUGUUAUGUCGGAUGUGAAAGCCCUCGGCUCAACUGAGGAAGUGCAUCCGAAACUGGCAGGCUAGAGUACUAAAGAGGGUCGCGGAAUUCCCGGUGUAGAGGUGAAAUUCGUAGAUAUCGGGAGGAACACCGGUGGCGAAGGCGGCGACCUGGGUAGAUACUGACGCUGAGGUGCGAUAGCGUGGGGAGCAAACAGG
Molecule: ribosomal RNA, 253 nt
Filed under: uncultured bacterium
Lineage: Bacteria
Description: partial 16S ribosomal RNA
Rfam family: Bacterial small subunit ribosomal RNA
Source: RNAcentral